GACAGAGGCCUCAAGCGUUAGGCGGAAUCACUGGGCUUAAAGCGUGUGUAGGCGGAUGCCUAAGUACCUUGUGAAAUCCCACGGCUCAACCGUGGAACUGCUGGGUAUACUGGGCGUCUUGGGCCAUUCAGGGGCGACUGGAACAAGCGGUGGAGCGGUGAAAUGCGUAGAUAUCGCUUGGAACGCCGAAGGGGAAAACAGGUCGCUGGGGAUGUGCCGACGCUGAGACACGAAAGCCAGGGGAGCAAACGGG
This 253-nucleotide ribosomal RNA is filed under the name uncultured bacterium. RNAcentral describes it as "partial 16S ribosomal RNA". It matches the Rfam family "Bacterial small subunit ribosomal RNA", at positions 524 to 776 of the family's 1533-position model. The record is from RNAcentral.